RNAcentral lists this ribosomal RNA (216 nucleotides) under Glomeromycotina sp. RNAcentral describes it as "partial small subunit ribosomal RNA". The stretch from base 40 to 216 matches the Rfam family "Eukaryotic small subunit ribosomal RNA", at positions 686 to 864 of the family's 1831-position model. Lineage: Eukaryota; Fungi; Glomeromycota. The record is from RNAcentral.
GGGUCAGUAGGUUGGUCGUGCCACCGGUACGUACUGGUCUCACUGAUUCCUCCUUCCUGAAGAACCGUAAUGCCAUUAAUUUGGUGUUGCGGGGAAACAGGACUGUUACUUUGAAAAAAUUAGAGUGUUUAAAGCAAGCUAACGCUUGAAUACAUUAGCAUGGAAUAAUGAAAUAGGACGAUCGAUCCUAUUUUGUUGGCUUCUAGGGUUGACGUA